Molecule: ribosomal RNA, 645 nt
Filed under: Triticum aestivum (bread wheat)
Lineage: Eukaryota; Viridiplantae; Streptophyta; Magnoliopsida; Poales; Poaceae
Description: partial small subunit ribosomal RNA
Source: RNAcentral
AUGAGCAAGGACAGGCACGAGCACCACCUGCGGCGCUGCUGCGGCGGCCUCGCGGCGUGCCUCCUGUUCCUGGUCGUCGCCGUCGCGGUCACCGCGCUCGUCGUCUACCUCGCGCUCCGCCCCGCCAAGCCCUCCUUCUACCUGCAGGACCUGCAGCUCCGCUCCGUCAGCCUCGGGGACCCGUCCCUGUCCGCCACCGCUCAGGUCACGCUCGCCUCCCGCAACCCCAACGACCGCGUCGGCGUGCUCUACCGGCGCCUCGACGUCUUCGUCACCUACCGCGACGAGCCCGUGACCGUGCCGGUGUCCUUGCCGCCCGCGUACCAGGGCCACCGGGACGUCACCAUCUGGUCCCCCGUGCUGUCCGGUGAGUCCGUGCCGGUGGCCGGGUUCGUCGCCGACGCCAUGAAGCAGGACAUCGCCGCCGGGUACGUGGCGCUGCAGGUCAAGGUCGACGGCCGCGUCCGGUGGAAGGUCGGCAGCUGGGUCUCCGGCAGCUACCACCUCUUCGUCAGCUGCCCUGCCGUGCUUGCCGCCGGCCCCGGCGGUGUCCCGCCCGGCGCUGGUGGCCCCAACGGCACCGCCGGCCGAGCCGUCGCGUCGCUGAAGUUCACGCAGCCCACAGGGUGCACCGUCGGCACCUGA